AAUGAGAGUUUGAUCCUGGCUCAGGACGAACGCUGGCGGCGUGCCUAAUACAUGCAAGUAGAACGCUGAGGUUUGGUGUUUACACUAGACUGAUGAGUUGCGAACGGGUGAGUAACGCGUAGGUAACCUGCCUCAUAGCGGGGGAUAACUAUUGGAAACGAUAGCUAAUACCGCAUAAGAGUAAUUAACACAUGUUGGUUAUUUAAAAGGAGCAAUUGCUUCACUGUGAGAUGGACCUGCGUUGUAUUAGCUAGUUGGUGAGGUAAAGGCUCACCAAGGCGACGAUACAUAGCCGACCUGAGAGGGUGAUCGGCCACACUGGGACUGAGACACGGCCCAGACUCCUACGGGAGGCAGCAGUAGGGAAUCUUCGGCAAUGGACGGAAGUCUGACCGAGCAACGCCGCGUGAGUGAAGAAGGUUUUCGGAUCGUAAAGCUCUGUUGUUAGAGAAGAACGUUGGUAGGAGUGGAAAAUCUACCAAGUGACGGUAACUAACCAGAAAGGGACGGCUAACUACGUGCCAGCAGCCGCGGUAAUACGUAGGUCCCGAGCGUUGUCCGGAUUUAUUGGGCGUAAAGCGAGCGCAGGCGGUUCUUUAAGUCUGAAGUUAAAGGCAGUGGCUUAACCAUUGUACGCUUUGGAAACUGGAGG
RNAcentral lists this ribosomal RNA (652 nucleotides) under Streptococcus agalactiae CCUG 38383. RNAcentral's name for it is "bacterial SSU rRNA". It matches the Rfam family "Bacterial small subunit ribosomal RNA", at positions 1 to 639 of the family's 1533-position model. Lineage: Bacteria; Bacillati; Bacillota; Bacilli; Lactobacillales; Streptococcaceae. The record is from RNAcentral.